CAUCACCGGAUGUGAUACCAAGGCCGGAAUGUUCUUGGUACCACUAGAACAUAGACAUCACCUAAGGUUCAUGUGCAUCACUUUAUCUAACUCUCGAUGGAAUCCUUGGAGAUCAGUACUUUCCUUCUUUUGAGAGUAUAGACAAGGAAGCUAAGCACAUUGAGAAAUGUUUUCGGUGACACAGAACAGUCUCACUAAGGCUUCCGUCUCAUUCUCUCCAGCCCUGGGACUGCAUUCCUGGAGCUUAUGGAGUCCAGAAGCAGAUUGGCUGCAGGACUUUCCCAUCUGAGCUUCAAGAUCCACAAAUAGAGUGUUGAAUAAAAGCUGCGGUCCCUCCCAGGAGAAGCUUUAUCUUCGAAAGAGAAAUGUGAACGGCUCUGCAUAAUGAGAGGCUCAUCGAAGGAAAGGGGGCAAGAAACGGAAAGCAACGAGGCAAAGAGAUAACAGGAGACUGGUUCCAGCAAUAUUCCUCCUUGCAGGAAGUGAGCCCCACUGAAUCCAUAUUUCUACAUAAUAAGCUGUUUGGUGGAGGCUUGAG
Long non-coding RNA from Mus caroli (Ryukyu mouse), 538 nucleotides. RefSeq lists it as uncharacterized. The record is from RefSeq and is a predicted model, not a curated record. Lineage: Eukaryota; Metazoa; Chordata; Mammalia; Rodentia; Muridae.